RNAcentral lists this ribosomal RNA (253 nucleotides) under uncultured bacterium. RNAcentral describes it as "partial 16S ribosomal RNA". It matches the Rfam family "Bacterial small subunit ribosomal RNA", at positions 524 to 776 of the family's 1533-position model. The record is from RNAcentral.
GACAGAGGGUGCAAACGUUGUUCGGAAUUACUGGGCGUAAAGCGUGUGUAGGCGGUCUACUAAGUCGGGUGUGAAAGCCCUGGGCUCAACCCAGGAAGUGCACUCGAAACUGGCAGGCUAGAGUACUGGAGAGGUUGGUGGAAUUCUCGGUGUAGAGGUGAAAUUCGUAGAUAUCGAGAGGAACACCGGUGGCGAAGGCGGCCAACUGGACAGAUACUGACGCUGAGACACGAAAGCGUGGGGAGCAAACAGG